RNAcentral lists this ribosomal RNA (570 nucleotides) under uncultured bacterium. Its description in RNAcentral is "bacterial SSU rRNA". It matches the Rfam family "Bacterial small subunit ribosomal RNA", at positions 8 to 590 of the family's 1533-position model. The record is from RNAcentral.
AGAGUUUGAUNUGGCUCAGGAUGAACGCUGGCGGCGUGCUUAACACAUGCAAGUCGAACGAUGAAGCUGGAGCUUGCUCCGGUGGAUUAGUGGCGAACGGGUGAGUAACACGUGAGCAAUCUGCCCUUGACUCUGGGAUAACUGCGGGAAACUGUAGCUAAUACCGGAUACGACGCCUUGGGGCAUCCCACGGGCGUGGAAAGAAUUUCGGUCAAGGAUGAGCUCGCGGCCUAUCAGCUAGUUGGUGAGGUAAUGGCUCACCAAGGCGACGACGGGUAGCCGGCCUGAGAGGGUGACCGGCCACACUGGGACUGAGACACGGCCCAGACUCCUACGGGAGGCAGCAGUGGGGAAUAUUGCGCAAUGGGCGAAAGCCUGACGCAGCAACGCCGCGUGAGGGAUGAAGGCCUUCGGGUUGUAAACCUCUUUUAGCANGGAAGAAGCGAAAGUGACGGUACCUGCAGACAAAGCACCGGCUAACUACNUGCCAGCAGCCGCGGUAAUACGUANGGUGCAAGCNUUAUCNGGANUUNAUGGGCGUAAANAGCUCGUAAGCGGUUUGUCACAUCU